CCUGUCUGGCACACAGUCCUCGGUCCACACAUGCCCAUCGAACUCCUUACGCCUUCAAUAGGGAUGCGUCACUCUCUCCAGGUUACUUCUGGUAGAAAUAACAGCUAGACUUCUGACAAACACACACAGUCCUUCGUCCACACAUCUCCUUCCGACUUCACCAUGGAUGCAUCCCUCUUAGGUCUGAUGGAAAUAACAGGUACCUGUCUGGCACAGUCCUGUCCACACAGCUCGCCUAACUCCUUCCGCCUUCAAUAGGGAUGAGUCACUCUCCAGGUUACUUGGGUCUGGUGGAAAUAACAGGUACCUGUCUGGCACAGUCCUGUCCACACAGCUCGCCUAACUCCUUCCGCCUUCAAUAGGGAUGAGUCACUCCCCAGGUUACCUGGGUCUGGUGGAAAUAACAGGUAUUUGUUUUGCAAUUACUACCGUUUCAUAAAACUUGUUAAGAUUUAAAGGGGUUCAGUUCUUACCAGUAACGAGCAGAUUGUCAUUUUAAAAAAAAAAAAAAAAAAAAAAAAAAAAAAAAAAAAGCCUUGCCUUCAGCCCCACUGUUCCUUUCCAGCCUCUCCCUCAGUUCCUGCAGCUGUUGCUCUUGGUCCGCAACAAGCGUUUUAAGCGAGGCCAGCUCUGCCUUCAAGGCAGCCACAUCUCCGUCCAUUGCUUUCUCUGCUGCUUCCUGGAGAACCCUGGUGUCCUGCUGUAGCUUGGAGAGCUCCUCGACGGCAAAGGUACCUGUCUGGCACAGUCCUGUCCACACAGCUCGCCUAACUCCUUCCGCCUUCAAUAGGGAUGAGUCACUCUCCAGGUUACCUGGGUCUGGUGGAAAUAACAGGUAGCUGUCUGGCACACAGAGCUGUCCACACAGCCAGUCUAACUCCUUCCGCCUUCAAUAGGGAUGCGUCACUCUCCAGGUUACUUGGGUCUGGUGGAAAGAACAGGUAGCUGUCUGGCACAAAGUCCGCUGUCCACACUCCCCGUGUAACUCCAUCCGCCUUCAAAUCUUCUAAGUGACUGUCCAGGUUACUUGGGUCUGUUGGAAAUAACAGAUGAUCCAUCAUGAAGUUGAAAAACGCCUGUUGUCUCGGCGUCAUUAUGUCAUCAGGAUCGGGGUUCUCGGGCCAAAACUCCGUCAAGUGGACGUCAAGCUCUUCCUCUUCUCUUUUCCUUUUCUG
Molecule: non-coding RNA, 1175 nt
Organism: Danio rerio (zebrafish)
Lineage: Eukaryota; Metazoa; Chordata; Actinopteri; Cypriniformes; Danionidae
Source: RefSeq, a predicted model, not a curated record